RNAcentral lists this ribosomal RNA (702 nucleotides) under Enterococcus sp. RNAcentral's name for it is "bacterial SSU rRNA". It matches the Rfam family "Bacterial small subunit ribosomal RNA", at positions 78 to 767 of the family's 1533-position model. Lineage: Bacteria; Bacillati; Bacillota; Bacilli; Lactobacillales; Enterococcaceae. The record is from RNAcentral.
CCACCGAAAGAAAAAGAGUGGCGAACGGGUGAGUAACACGUGGGUAACCUGCCCAUCAGAAGGGGAUAACACUUGGAAACAGGUGCUAAUACCGUAUAACACUAUUUUCCGCAUGGAAGAAAGUUGAAAGGCGCUUUUGCGUCACUGAUGGAUGGACCCGCGGUGCAUUAGCUAGUUGGUGAGGUAACGGCUCACCAAGGCAACGAUGCAUAGCCGACCUGAGAGGGUGAUCGGCCACACUGGGACUGAGACACGGCCCAGACUCCUACGGGAGGCAGCAGUAGGGAAUCUUCGGCAAUGGACGAAAGUCUGACCGAGCAACGCCGCGUGAGUGAAGAAGGUUUUCGGAUCGUAAAACUCUGUUGUUAGAGAAGAACAAGGAUGAGAGUAGAACGUUCAUCCCUUGACGGUAUCUAACCAGAAAGCCACGGCUAACUACGUGCCAGCAGCCGCGGUAAUACGUAGGUGGCAAGCGUUGUCCGGAUUUAUUGGGCGUAAAGCGAGCGCAGGCGGUUUCUUAAGUCUGAUGUGAAAGCCCCCGGCUCAACCGGGGAGGGUCAUUGGAAACUGGGAGACUUGAGUGCAGAAGAGGAGAGUGGAAUUCCAUGUGUAGCGGUGAAAUGCGUAGAUAUAUGGAGGAACACCAGUGGCGAAGGCGGCUCUCUGGUCUGUAACUGACGCUGAGGCUCGAAAGCGUGGGGA